RNAcentral lists this ribosomal RNA (205 nucleotides) under uncultured bacterium. RNAcentral's name for it is "partial 16S ribosomal RNA". It matches the Rfam family "Bacterial small subunit ribosomal RNA", at positions 570 to 774 of the family's 1533-position model. The record is from RNAcentral.
CGUAGGCGGUCUCUUAAGUCAGGUGUGAAAGCCCGGGGCUCAACCCCGGAAGUGCACUUGAAACUAGGAGACUUGAGUAUGGGAGAGGGAAGUGGAAUUCCUGGUGUAGCGGUGAAAUGCGUAGAUAUCAGGAGGAACACCGGUGGCGAAGGCGACUUCCUGGACCAAUACUGACGCUGAGGCGCGAAGGCGUGGGGAGCAAACA